GAGGGGCCCGCGUCCGAUUAGCUAGUUGGUGAGGUAACGGCUCACCAAGGCAACGAUCGGUAGCCGGCCUGAGAGGGCGGACGGCCACACUGGGACUGAGACACGGCCCAGACUCCUACGGGAGGCAGCAGUGGGGAAUUGUUCGCAAUGGGCGCAAGCCUGACGACGCAACGCCGCGUGGAGGAUGAAGAUCUUCGGGUCGUAAACUCCUUUCGAUUGGGACGAAUUCCUUCGGGGUGAACAACCCUGGAGGUUGACGGUACCGAGAGAAGAAGCCCCGGCUAACUCCGUGCCAGCAGCCGCGGUAAUACGGGGGGGGCAAGCGUUGUUCGGAAUUACUGGGCGUAAAGGGCUCGUAGGCGGCCAACUAAGUCGGACGUGAAAUCCCUCGGCUUAACCGGGGAACUGCGUCCGAUACUGGAUGGCUUGAGUUUGGGAGAGGGAUGCGGAAUUCCAGGUGUAGCGGUGAAAUGCGUAGAUAUCUGGAGGAACACCGGUGGCGAAGGCGGCAUCCUGGACCAACACUGACGCUGAGGAGCGAAAGCCAGGGGAGCAAACGGGAUUAGAUACCCCGGUAGUCCUGGCCCUAAACGAUGAAUGCUUGGUGU
This 608-nucleotide ribosomal RNA is filed under the name uncultured soil bacterium. RNAcentral describes it as "bacterial SSU rRNA". It matches the Rfam family "Bacterial small subunit ribosomal RNA", at positions 224 to 823 of the family's 1533-position model. The record is from RNAcentral.